GUCAAACUUGGUCAUUUAGAGGAAGUAAAAGUCGUAACAAGGUUUCCGUAGGUGAACCUGCGGAAGGAUCAUUAUCGUACAAAAUGUGAGAGGGGCAUGCGAGGGCUGUCGCUGACUCAAAGUCGUGCACGCCCGAGUGUGUCGCCUCACAUAAUAAUCCAUCUCACCCUUUGUGCAUCACCGCGUGGGCACCCCUUUGGGAUCAUCUCGGAGGGGGCUCGCGUUUUCACACAAAACCCCCCUUUUAAAAGUGUAGAAUGACCUCAUUUAUGCGCUAACCCGCAAUCAAUACAACUUUCAACAACGGAUCUCUUGGCUCUCGCAUCGAUGAAGAACGCAGCGAAAUGCGAUACGUAAUGUGAAUUGCAGAAUUCAGUGAAUCAUCGAAUCUUUGAACGCACCUUGCGCCCCCUGGUAUUCCGAGGGGCACACCCGUUUGAGUGUCGUGAAAACCUCAACCUCCUUGGUUUCUUCUGGAGACCAAAGCAGGCUUGGACUUUGGAGGCCUUUGCUGGCACCUCUCGCCAGCUCCUCUUAAAUGAAUUAGCAGGGUCCUCUUUGCUGAUCCUCGACGUGUGAUAAGAUGUUUCCAUGUCUUGGUUUCUGGCUCUGUCACCUUUGGGACCCGCUUCUAACCGUCUUCAACCUUGCGUUGAGACAACGUUCGAGCAUGUCUCCCUUCUCGGGAAGCUCCCUCGACCCCACGAACCCUUGACCUCAAAUCGGGUGAGACUACCCGCUGAACUUAAGCAUAUCAAUA
This 760-nucleotide ribosomal RNA is filed under the name Lactarius rufus. RNAcentral describes it as "eukaryotic LSU rRNA". The stretch from base 293 to 446 matches the Rfam family "5.8S ribosomal RNA". Lineage: Eukaryota; Fungi; Basidiomycota; Agaricomycetes; Russulales; Russulaceae. The record is from RNAcentral.